ACCCAAGAGUUACCAUGCAUGAUCCGUGAAUGAUGGGUAUCAGGCCUGGACCAGGUUUGAUUCUAUAACGGUCCAGCAUCGACCGCCAUCACUGCUGAAUCGAGGCUGUUGCACUGGCCUGGACCAGUAUCUAUUUCAGUCCCGAUGUAGUCAUAGCUGAUACAGUAAUGUCUGUUCGUCAGCACUGGUCCAGGCUGUAUAUCAGUACUGGAUCAGAUCGAUGCUUUUCAAGAUGGCAGCCCCGCGUGGACUAUCUGACAUGUUUUGUUAAAGAAAAUCAUCUUAAUCUGACUCUUUAAGAGGAAUCUUGUUGGCUGUAUACACUAGGGCUAAAUCACUGGAUGUUAUUAUUGAGCCAAGCAUUGAAACAGAGCCAGAAGACCUUUCUGCAAUAAUCAUGACACUAGUGAAGACAAUGAGGAAUCAGGCGUAAAAAUGGUUCACUACAUGUGAUUGUAACUAUGUUUUUAAUUAGGGUGAAUGUAUUAGUGAUCAUGAUGAUGAAGAUAUUGUACUGAGAGACUUAUGAAUGAUAGUCACAAGUGUGAAUUUUUGAUGCGGAAGAUUAUUCUGGAAAUAUUAGUAUAGUAGGUGCUCCUUUAAUUCAUAUUAAUUUAUUAAUUUAGCAAGGCCACUAGUAUACAUUCUAUAGUUACCUUAUCUCACUAAGUUUCAA
RNAcentral lists this long non-coding RNA (676 nucleotides) under Amphimedon queenslandica. RNAcentral describes it as "uncharacterized LOC109580727, transcript variant X1". Lineage: Eukaryota; Metazoa; Porifera; Demospongiae; Haplosclerida; Niphatidae. The record is from RNAcentral.